RNAcentral lists this ribosomal RNA (440 nucleotides) under uncultured bacterium. RNAcentral's name for it is "partial 16S ribosomal RNA". It matches the Rfam family "Bacterial small subunit ribosomal RNA", at positions 338 to 795 of the family's 1533-position model. The record is from RNAcentral.
CCUACGGGUGGCAGCAGUGGGGAAUAUUGCACAAUGGGGGAAACCCUGAUGCAGCGACGCCGCGUGAAGGAAGAAGUAUUUCGGUUUGUAAACUUCUAUUAGUAGGGAAGAAAAUGACGGUAUCUGACUAAGAAGCCCCGGCUAACUACGUGCCAGCAGCCGCGGUAAUACGUAGGGGGCAAGCGUUAUCCGGAUUUACUGGGUGUAAAGGGAGCGUAGGCGGUUCAGCAAGUCAGAAGUGAAAGCCCGGGGCUUAACUACGGGACUGCAUUUGAAACUGUUGAACUAGAGUGCAGGAGAGGUAAGUGGAAUUCCUAGUGUAGCGGUGAAAUGCGUAGAUAUUAGGAGGAACACCAGUGGCGAAGGCGACUUACUGGACUGUAAAUGACGCUGAGGCUCGAAAGCGUGGGGAGCAAACAGGAUUAGAUACCCUUGUAGUC